This 506-nucleotide ribosomal RNA is filed under the name uncultured bacterium. RNAcentral describes it as "partial 16S ribosomal RNA". It matches the Rfam family "Bacterial small subunit ribosomal RNA", at positions 29 to 523 of the family's 1533-position model. The record is from RNAcentral.
AGUGAACGCUGGCGGUAGGCCUAACACAUGCAAGUCGAACGGCAGCACAGGAGAGCUUGCUCUCUGGGUGGCGAGUGGCGGACGGGUGAGGAAUACAUCGGAAUCUACUCUGUCGUGGGGGAUAACGUAGGGAAACUUACGCUAAUACCGCAUACGACCUACGGGUGAAAGCAGGGGACCUUCGGGCCUUGCGCGAUUAAAUGAGCCGAUGUCGGAUUAGCUAGUUGGCGGGGUAAAGGCCCACCAAGGCGACGAUCCGUAGCUGGGCUGAGGGGAUGAUCAGCCACACUGGAACUGAGACACGGUCCAGACUCCUACGGGAGGCAGCAGUGGGGAAUAUUGGACAAUGGGCGCAAGCCUGAUCCAGCCAUACCGCGUGGGUGAAGAAGGCCUUCGGGUUGUAAAGCCCUUUUGUUGGGAAAGAAAUCCAGCUGGCUAAUACCCGGUUGGGAUGACGGUACCCAAAGAAUAAGCACCGGCUAACUUCGUGCCAGCCGCCGCCGUAA